RNAcentral lists this small RNA (28 nucleotides) under Bombyx mori (domestic silkworm). Its description in RNAcentral is "ovarian small RNA-36161". Lineage: Eukaryota; Metazoa; Arthropoda; Insecta; Lepidoptera; Bombycidae. The record is from RNAcentral.
UGUUGCUGUAUUGGGUGACUUUAACAUC